This 185-nucleotide ribosomal RNA is filed under the name uncultured bacterium. Its description in RNAcentral is "partial 16S ribosomal RNA". It matches the Rfam family "Bacterial small subunit ribosomal RNA", at positions 1316 to 1500 of the family's 1533-position model. The record is from RNAcentral.
CUACAUGAAGCUGGAAUCGCUAGUAAUCGCGGAUCAGAAUGCCGCGGUGAAUACGUUCCCGGGUCUUGUACACACCGCCCGUCACACCAUGGGAGUCGGAAAUGCCCGAAGUCUGUGACCCAACCGUAAGGAGGGAGCAGCCGAAGGCAGGUCGGAUGACUGGGGUGAAGUCGUAACAAGGUAGC